GCUUGUCUCAAAGAUUAAGCCAUGCAUGUCUAAGUAUAAACAAAUCUAUACUGUGAAACUGCGAAUGGCUCAUUAUAUCAGUUAUAGUUUAUUUGAUGGUUCUUGCUACUUGGAUAACCGUAGUAAUUCUAGAGCUAAUACAUGCACAAAAUCCCGACUUACGAAGGGAUGUAUUUAUUAGAUACAAACCAACAUCGUGGUGAUUCAUAAUAACUUUCGGAUCGAUCUUCGGAUCGAUGCAUCAUUCAAGUUUCUGCCCUAUCAGCUUUGGAUGGUAGGGUAUUGGCCUACCAUGGCUUUAACGGGUAACGGAGAAUUAGGGUUCGAUUCCGGAGAGGGAGCCUGAGAAAUGGCUACCACAUCCAAGGAAGGCAGCAGG
Molecule: ribosomal RNA, 379 nt
Filed under: uncultured Katablepharidophyta
Lineage: Eukaryota; Cryptophyceae; Kathablepharidacea
Description: partial small subunit ribosomal RNA
Rfam family: Eukaryotic small subunit ribosomal RNA
Source: RNAcentral